AAUGAUAUGCCUGAAUAAAAGGAUUAUUUUGAUAGAAUAAAUUAUACAUUUCACUUUAUAGUAUGUUUUCAUUA
Molecule: transfer RNA, 74 nt
Filed under: Nylanderia flavipes
Lineage: Eukaryota; Metazoa; Arthropoda; Insecta; Hymenoptera; Formicidae
Description: tRNA-Ile
Source: RNAcentral